AGAGUUUGAUCAUGGCUCAGGACGAACGCUGGCGGCGUGCCUAACACAUGCAAGUCGAGCGGGGACAGCAAGUAGCAAUACGAGCUGUUCUAGCGGCGGACGGGUGAGUAACGCGUGAGCAACCUGUCCCUUACAGGGGGAUAACGCACCGAAAGGUGCACUAAUACCGCAUGAGACCACGGGGAGGACAUCUCCCAGGGGUUAAAGGAGCAAUCCGGUAAGGGGUGGGCUCGCGUCUGAUUAGCUAGUUGGUGGGGUAACGGCCUACCAAGGCAACGAUCAGUAGCCGACCUGAGAGGGUGAUCGGCCACACUGGAACUGAGACACGGUCCAGACUCCUACGGGAGGCAGCAGUGGGGAAUAUUGGGCAAUGGGGGAAACCCUGACCCAGCAACGCCGCGUGAAGGAAGAAGGUUUUCGGAUCGUAAACUUCUAUCCCGGGUGAAGAUAAUGACGGUAGCCCGGAAGGAAGCCCCGGCUAACUACGUGCCAGCAGCCGCGGUAAUACGUAGGGGGCAAGCGUUGUCCGGAAUGAUUGGGCGUAAAGGGCGCGUAGGCGGCCAACUAAGUCUGGAGUGAAAGUCCUACUUUUAAGGUGGGAAUUGCUUUGGAAACUGGAUGGCUUGAGUGUAGGAGAGGUUAGUGGAAUUCCCGGUGUAGCGGUGAAAUGCGUAGAGAUCGGGAGGAACACCAGUGGCGAAGGCGACUAACUGGACUAUGACUGACGCUGAGGCGCGAAAGUGUGGGGAGCAAACAGGAUUAGAUACCCUGGUAGUCCACACUGUAAACGAUGAAUGCUA
RNAcentral lists this ribosomal RNA (800 nucleotides) under uncultured bacterium. RNAcentral describes it as "bacterial SSU rRNA". It matches the Rfam family "Bacterial small subunit ribosomal RNA", at positions 8 to 818 of the family's 1533-position model. The record is from RNAcentral.